UACAGAGGGUGCAAACGUUGCUCGGAAUUACUGGGCGUAAAGCGCGUGUAGGCGGCCUGUUAAGUCGACUGUGAAAGCCCAUGGCUCAACCAUGGAAGUGCGGUCGAUACUGGCAGGCUCGAGUCCCGGAGAGGGUGGUGGAAUUCUCAGUGUAGAGGUGAAAUUCGUAGAUAUUGGGAGGAACACCGGUGGCGAAGGCG
RNAcentral lists this ribosomal RNA (200 nucleotides) under uncultured bacterium. Its description in RNAcentral is "partial 16S ribosomal RNA". It matches the Rfam family "Bacterial small subunit ribosomal RNA", at positions 524 to 723 of the family's 1533-position model. The record is from RNAcentral.